This 218-nucleotide ribosomal RNA is filed under the name uncultured bacterium. RNAcentral's name for it is "partial 16S ribosomal RNA". It matches the Rfam family "Bacterial small subunit ribosomal RNA", at positions 1285 to 1500 of the family's 1533-position model. The record is from RNAcentral.
UUCUCAGUUCGGAUCGGAGUCUGCAACCCGACUCCGUGAAGCUGGAUUCGCUAGUAAUCGCGCAUCAGCCAUGGCGCGGUGAAUACGUUCCCGGGCCUUGUACACACCGCCCGUCACACCAUGGGAGUCAGUAACGCCCGAAGCCGGUGACCCAACCAUUUAGGAGGGAGCCGUCGAAGGUGGGACCGAUAACUGGGGUGAAGUCGUAACAAGGUAUC